GGCCAUCCAAAGGCAUCCCAGUUGUACUAAACUAGAAACCCUGAGCCACAAUGUUUCUAGGUCAUCCAAAGGUAUCCCGAAUGUACUAAACCAGAAACCUAAGCCAAAAGGUUUCUAGGCCAUCCAAAGGUAUCCUGGUUGUACUAAACUGAAAACCCCAAGCCAGAAGGUGUCUUCAUUCAUUAUCAUCUUUGUGCCCAUGUGUGGACAUUCAUCAUUAUUUCCCAUCAUUUCUAUGCUCCGUUGGGGACAAUCACUUACGUUCUCCAUUGGGAAGUUUUUCUUACUAUAUUACUUUAUUAUUCAUUUUUGUGCUCAACAAGGGACAUUCAUCAUUCUUUUUUUACCUGGCGGGUCAGUGGGAAGUCUCACGGGCCUGUGAGGCUUUUCUUUUUUCCUUUUUUUAAUUUUUUAAUUUUAAUUUUUUUUUUUCUGAGACAUUUUUUACUUUUUUUAUUCUUUUUUUUUUCUUUUGGCGGAUCCACGAGAUUUCUCACGAGCCUGUGGGAUUUUCCCCUUAUUUAUAAUUUUAUUUUCUCUCUUUUUUUCUCUUCUCUUUUUGUGUUUUUUGUUUUUUCUUUCUUUGCUAAGUCAGGUUUUUUUCUUCUUAUUUUUUUCUUUUUCUCUUGGGGGGUCCGUGGAAUAUCUCACGAGCCCACGAUAUUUUUGGCAGGCCCAUGAGUGACUGGUGGGCCCGAGGGCUUGGUGGGGUCCUCCUAUAAAAGGGGAUGGACCCUCUCCAAUUUUUCUAUUCCAUUUCUCUAUCAUUUUGCUCCAUGUGUGGUGUGGUGCUCUCUUCUCUCUCUUCUAGUGUUCUAGUUUCUUAUAAAAGUCUUCAGAUGGGGCCUCGCAAGCACACACAUGGUGUAAGAGUCAUCGACAGGCUGGCUGACUCGUUGUCCCAAAAUGGCGCUACAACGUGGUAACUGGGAUCGACACUGAAGGGCACUAAGGAUCAUCGUUGCAACUCUGCUUGGGUAGAAUGGUUUUUUUUUUCUUUAUGCCGUGCUCUUAUAAUGCUACAAAUGCUUAUGUUUUAUAUGCUCAUGCAUGCGUGCUGAUGAAUGCUUAGCCUAUGUUAAUGUUAUCCUCAUGUAUGAAUGCAUGCUUGGGCUAUUUUCAUGCUUUUCUCAUGCAUGUUUAAACUAUUUUACAUGCUCAUGUUAGGGCAAUAAAUGCAUGCUUUACGCUUUGAGAUUUCUAUGUAUGCUCAUGCAUGUAUGCCUAUGUAUGCUUUUAGAAUUAUGUUCCAUGAUGCUUAUGUUGGGAUACUUACCUGUUAUAGUAGGCUCAAGCUGAACCUACGUAUAAGAAGUAUGAUUAUCCCAAUGGGAGCUUGGGUCAACCAUAUCCAUCCUCUCAUAUAGCAGACAAUCCGCAACAUGCCUUUUCGUCCUUGCUUCUACCCAUGUGGCAAGAAGCUGGAUGUCGAGCUUACCUGGGCUCCUACCAAGAGAUGGUGGCCGAUCACUUAUACCUUUCACCGUCCUGUGGGGGAAAUAACGAUCACCCCCCUCUGCUUUUAUCUUUGACUGGCCCUCCCUUUGGCGGCGAGCCCAUCACCUUUUCUACCCCUAUGGCCAGUCCAUUAUAUUGGAUCUUACGGGCAUUGAUUCUCCCACUUCUAUCCAUCUUUCCACCAUCCACAAGAUCUAGACCGGUAAGAAGGUGACCGCGUCCACUCUUCGGGAGGAAAAGGACCAAUUUAUCUGUAGCAUCUUCAUCUAAUGGGCCAGCUUGUGCUUGUUUAGCAACGCUUCUAAAAAGGUCGGCAUUCAGCUCGACUACUACUUUAGUGAUCUUCAGAACAUUCAGAAGUAUGACUGGGGUGGCACCGCCUAUGCAUACUUCUUGAGGAUGAUGGAUCAUCUUGCCUAGGGCGAUCUGAGCUUGUGUGGGGCUGCCUUUAUUCUUUAGCCUUAGGUCUAUGAGCAUCUUGACUUCAUCAAUCCUCCCCUAACAGAAGGGGAUUAUGAUAUAUUCCCUCUCACCAGAAAAUGGGGUGCAGGCAGGACCAUCCAUGGCCCUCUACCUCUUAGCACCAUAGGGAGGGACGUCCUUAACCGACUCACUGUGGUUAAUUGGACUCCCUUCCAAAUGGUGACUUUUCUUCAGAAGCCCAUUAAGACGAGGCUAGGAGACUUACUGGUCUUCAUGUUCUAUUCCAGGGUCCCAGUGGUCUUGCCUGAUAUGUCAGGGAGAGGAUCGCUAGGCAGUGGUUUGACUCAAAUGGCCCCCUAGUUCCUCAUCAUCCUCCUCCAUCCAUGCACAACCCUAGCAUCCUUUCUGAGGAAGACUUAUAGGCGGCCUUGAUUGGGGUAACUAGGGACAACUUUACAGAUCUUAUGUGAGACAACUUGGAGUUUCUUCAGUAGGAGACCGUAUGUGUGCCAUUGACCUCUGAGGGUCCCCAGGACAAUCAUCUUCCUUGGUUGUGACGCUCUCAGAUCAGCAAGUUCUUCCACAGAAGGUUCCUGUCACACCCUGUUCACACAGAACCGGACCGGUGACCAAGUUAACUCCGGUUAACCAAAAACCUGCCAAGAUCAUCUGAUACAGUACCCCACC
Macadamia integrifolia is the source of this 2568-nucleotide long non-coding RNA. RefSeq lists it as uncharacterized. The transcript has 4 exons. Lineage: Eukaryota; Viridiplantae; Streptophyta; Magnoliopsida; Proteales; Proteaceae. The record is from RefSeq and is a predicted model, not a curated record.